AUGCAUUCGACACUUUCUCAACAAGUUCUUAAAAUGUUCCCAAGCCUCGUACAAACUUUCAUCUUCUAGUUGUUUGAAAGAUGUCAAGUUAUUUCGUAGCUU
Hibiscus syriacus is the source of this 102-nucleotide small nucleolar RNA. NCBI's taxonomy places the organism in Eukaryota, Viridiplantae, Streptophyta, Magnoliopsida, Malvales, Malvaceae. The record is from RefSeq and is a predicted model, not a curated record.